This 104-nucleotide ribosomal RNA is filed under the name Vibrio sp. qd031. Lineage: Bacteria; Pseudomonadati; Pseudomonadota; Gammaproteobacteria; Vibrionales; Vibrionaceae. The record is from RNAcentral.
AGCGUUGUGGACCCACCUGAUUCCAUGCCGAACUCAGAAGUGAAACGCAAUAGCGCCGAUGGUAGUGUGGGGUUUCCCCAUGUGAGAGUAGGACAUCGCCAGGC